RNAcentral lists this ribosomal RNA (499 nucleotides) under uncultured Glomeromycotina. Its description in RNAcentral is "partial small subunit ribosomal RNA". It matches the Rfam family "Eukaryotic small subunit ribosomal RNA", at positions 591 to 1092 of the family's 1831-position model. Lineage: Eukaryota; Fungi; Glomeromycota. The record is from RNAcentral.
CCAAUAGCGUAUAUUAAAGUUGUUGCAGUUAAAAAGCUCGUAGUUGAAUUUCGGGAUCAGAUUGUCGGUCGUGCCUCGGUACGCACUGGCAUUAUUGGUUCCUACCUUCUGAAGAACCGCGAUGUCAUUAAUUUGGUGUCGUGGGGAAUCAGGACUGUUACUUGGAAAAAAUUAGAGUGUUUAAAGCAGGCGCACGCUUGAAUACAUUAGCAUGGAAUAAUGAAAUAGGACGUUUGAUUCUAUUUUGUUGGUUUCUAGGAUCGACGUAAUGAUUAAUAGGGAUAGUUGGGGGCAUUAGUAUUCAAUUGUCAGAGGUGAAAUUCUUGGAUUUAUUGAAGACUAACUACUGCGAAAGCAUUUGCCAAGGAUGUUUUCAUUAAUCAAGAACGAAAGUUAGGGGAUCGAAGACGAUCAGAUACCGUCGUAGUCUUAACCAUAAACUAUGCCGACUAGGGAUCGGAUGAUGUUAAUUUUUUAAUGACUCAUUCGGCGCCUUACG